UUGAGUUUUCUUUAGAAGUUGUUUUAACAAUCUUGUGAUUGUGGGAGUCAUCUUCAACCUUCUUCUUGCCAUUGAUAUUCUUUGGAGGGGAGAUUAGAGCCGUUUGAAGGGAGUUGUGAGAUCUUUCGAGAUUUCAAGGCUUCUUAGGACUUAUCUUUUAAUUUCUUACUGUCAAUUCUUUCUUUAUUUCUACUUGUGCUGAAUCAUUAUCUAAUCUAUUUU
Molecule: long non-coding RNA, 222 nt
Filed under: Gossypium barbadense (sea-island cotton)
Lineage: Eukaryota; Viridiplantae; Streptophyta; Magnoliopsida; Malvales; Malvaceae
Description: long non-coding RNA (GBAR_LNC000625)
Source: RNAcentral